Molecule: unclassified non-coding RNA, 278 nt
Filed under: Hevea brasiliensis (rubber tree)
Lineage: Eukaryota; Viridiplantae; Streptophyta; Magnoliopsida; Malpighiales; Euphorbiaceae
Source: RNAcentral
GAACUUUCCCAAGCAUAAGCAAAAGAUCUCUCGCAGAUUUCCAGACAGCGGCAGUGGAGGCAGUAUUCGAAGCGUUGAUCCAUUAGUUCUUGUUUCAAGUUAACCAUGGCAAUGUAUAUCCGAAUCAAACGCCAUAAGACAACCUACUUUAUCCAGUGUGAUCCAAUUGAGACAACUUUAAAUAUCAAGCAAAAAUUAGAGUCCCUUAUUGACCAACCAGUAGUUGAUCAGCGUUUGAUUCUGGUGGGGAGUGGGGAAGUAUUGGAGGAUUCCAAAAC